RNAcentral lists this non-coding RNA (24 nucleotides) under Cricetulus griseus (Chinese hamster). The record is from RNAcentral. Lineage: Eukaryota; Metazoa; Chordata; Mammalia; Rodentia; Cricetidae.
UAUACAUGGAAGCAGAAUGUUUUU